Molecule: ribosomal RNA, 399 nt
Filed under: uncultured Gemmatimonadota bacterium
Lineage: Bacteria; Pseudomonadati; Gemmatimonadota
Description: bacterial SSU rRNA
Rfam family: Bacterial small subunit ribosomal RNA
Source: RNAcentral
GAGUUUGAUCAUGGCUCAGGACGAACGCUGGCGGCGUGCUUAACACAUGCAAGUCACGGGGGCCCGCAAGGGCAACCGGCGAACGGGUGCGUAACACGUGAGCAAUCUGCCGAUUUCUGGGGGAUAGCCGGCCCAACGGCCGGGUAAUACCGCAUACGCUCAUUUGGGGGAGUCCCCGAGUGAGGAAACCUCCGGGGGAAAUCGAGGAGCUCGCGGCCUAUCAGCUAGUUGGCGGGGUAACGGCCCACCAAGGCUCUGACGGGUAGCUGGUCUGAGAGGAUGGCCAGCCACAUUGGGACUGAGAGACGGCCCAGACUCCUACGGGAGGCAGCAGUGGGGAAUCUUGCGCAAUGGCCGAAAGGCUGGCGCAGCGACGCCGCGUGUGGGAGGAAGCCCUUC